Molecule: ribosomal RNA, 245 nt
Filed under: uncultured bacterium
Lineage: Bacteria
Description: partial 16S ribosomal RNA
Rfam family: Archaeal small subunit ribosomal RNA
Source: RNAcentral
UACCAGCACCCCGAGUGGUCGGGACGAUUAUUGGGCCUAAAGCAUCCGUAGCCGGUUCUGCAAGUCCCCCGUUAAAUCCAGCUGCUCAACAGAUGGGCCGCGGAGGAUACUACAGAGCUAGGAGGCAGGAGAGGCAAGCGGUACUCAGUGGGUAGGGGUAAAAUCCGUUGAUCCAUUGAAGACCACCAGUGGCGAAGGCGGCUUGCCAGAAUGCGCUCGACGGUGAGGGAUGAAAGCUGGGGGAG